This 274-nucleotide ribosomal RNA is filed under the name uncultured bacterium. RNAcentral describes it as "partial 16S ribosomal RNA". It matches the Rfam family "Bacterial small subunit ribosomal RNA", at positions 523 to 796 of the family's 1533-position model. The record is from RNAcentral.
CUACGGAGGGUGCAAGCGUUGUUCGGAAUUACUGGGCGUAAAGCGCGUGCAGGCGGUAAGGUAAGUCAGAUGUGAAAGCCCCGGGCUCAACCCGGGAAGUGCAUUUGAUACUGCCUUUCUUGAGUAUGGGAGAGGAGAGUGGAAUUCCCAGUGUAGAGGUGAAAUUCGUAGAUAUUGGGAGGAACACCCGUGGCGAAGGCGACUCUCUGGACCAAUACUGACGCUGAGACGCGAAAGCGUGGGGAGCGAACAGGAUUAGAUACCCUAGUAGUCC